Long non-coding RNA from Oncorhynchus gorbuscha (pink salmon), 1136 nucleotides. RefSeq lists it as uncharacterized. The transcript has 2 exons. The record is from RefSeq and is a predicted model, not a curated record. NCBI's taxonomy places the organism in Eukaryota, Metazoa, Chordata, Actinopteri, Salmoniformes, Salmonidae.
AUGGAGAAAAGGAUCCUCUUUACAUUUGAUCCUUUUUUCUCACCCAUUUUUAAUACCCCUUUGUUUUAUUGCACAGUAUAAACCAAACCUGCCAUGGGAAUAGGUCGUUUUAACGAAUACAUUGCAAGGAGAUUCUGUAGAAGGACAUGUGUAUUGACUGAGCAGCUCCCACAGUGUUUGGUCAUUUGCACGUCCAGUACAAUCUGUGAAAGACACAUUUGGGAUGUUUUUUGUCAAACAGCCAGGAAGUAGCUAUGUGUUUUCUUUAGAAAAAAAACUGGAAUAGUGAGUUGGAGAGAGGAGAAAAAUAAGUGGUAGGCCUUGCUCAGUUUAUUGCUUAUAUACCAAACAAAGAAUCCUGGAAGCCUGCGCGCGAUCAAUCUUACUUGCUAAAAGGUCUGACAGCUCCGUGCCCUCAGAACACAUUUAAGGCUUCUAACUCUCCCCUGGAUCAAAUGCAGCCAGGAAGCGGGAAGAAACACUGGCCACUCAGAUUAGAACACGUUUCUGUUUGCAAUCACAGCUUUUCUGUCGCUUAAAGGGUGUUUUAAGACAUUAAAAGUACAAGGAAAAUGUAGCAGAUGGGCGAUAAUGCGCGGAGCGAUACUGCAGAAGAUCCUCGUGAAACGUGUGUUAUUAUGGAUGUGCCCAUGCGGAGGAGGAGCGGAACGAGGCCACCGCAAGAGCUUCUGAGUUGCCCACGCGCUAGAGGAGACAAAACAAGAGGCCUACAAUGUUUUCGUGAUUUAUUGUCACUACAAAUUAAAUACGAUGUUAUAGAUUAUGAAUGGUAUUACAGAUGAUGAGAAAAUGGGGAUACUGUUGUUUUUAUGAAAUAGCCUACCCUCUAAAGUCCUACCAGUUUUUGUCUACCUCACAAAUGAGGCUAUUUAUGGGAUAUUAAGGUGUUUAUUACUACUAUUAUUCUUAUUAUUAUUCCUUCCUUAUUGUAGUUUGUGCCGUUGUGUUCUACGUUCAAAUUCCCUCCAAAUUAAGGAUGAAAGAUACAUUUCUAUUGAAAACCAUUUCUUUAUUUAUCCGAACUGCAGCAGGAUGGAAUGUAUGACAUUGAAACAGAAACUUGGUAAUAUCUUAAAUAUUUUUUUUUUGCAAUAAAAACAAUUAUAAUGUCUGUC